Long non-coding RNA from Pseudopipra pipra, 3553 nucleotides. RefSeq lists it as uncharacterized. NCBI's taxonomy places the organism in Eukaryota, Metazoa, Chordata, Aves, Passeriformes, Pipridae. The transcript is spliced from 2 exons. The record is from RefSeq and is a predicted model, not a curated record.
AGGGGGCGCGGCGGCCCCCGGCCCCCGGCCCGGCUGCGCGCCCGGCUCCGAACGCCCCGCUCCGCCCGGGGAACGGGGCCGGGCAGCGGAGCCAGGGAGCGGAGCCAGCCGUCCCGGGAACACGCACCGGCUCCGGCGGGAGCAGGGACGGCUCCGCGCGGCCCCAAUCCCCGGCCGCGGCAUCGGCCGUGAAGGGAGCUGGACGAUGAGGGGCGAAGGACGUGGCCAACCGAGCCAGACAUCCAACACCAUCAACAGCCCUGCGUUCGGGUCCUGGUGGUUGUCAGAGCAGGCAGGAGCUGACGUGUGGCCUGAGCACUGCUGUGGGGACAACACGGCUUCGUGGGCUCCCAGGGAACAGACAUGUGCUGAUGGGAAUCUGAGCAGGAAUAAACAUCACUGCAAUCAAUACCUCAGAUCGUCUGAUACCACCUACACGACAGAGAGCAGGAAAGAAGGGAGAAUGAUGCUCCAUUGGAAGUUUUAGGGAAAUCUAAGGUGGAAAAUGGAGUGUUUGUGAGGUGGUCCAUUCACAUCCGAGGCUGGCAGUGAGACUGCUGUGCUCUGAUGGCUCUGACUCCCCACUGGGGCUCCAACUUCAUGCGACAUCCGACUUAUGACAUCCAACUUCCCGGUGACAUCCACCCUCGCAGUGUCUGUCACGGCUGCUGGCUUGCUGGGGAGAGUCCUGACAUGUCUUGUGGCACACGUGUGUGUGCACUCUGGCUUGUGCUCUGAGUGCUCCAGGGCUGGGCCUGAUGGUGUGUCUGGAGCUGGUGCUGUGGCUGUGAAGAUGCUGAUCUUCAGCUGCUGUCUGGUGGUGCUGGGGCCAGGCCCUGCCACAGUGGGCAGAUACCAGCACAAGGCUCAUGCUUGAUGAGCAGCUGGCCUUGUUCUCUGCUUGGGGACUUUGUACCUCACACGAAAUUGGAUAAAAAUAUGCUUUAGCCCUCUUGCCCCCUGGAAGGCACUCACAGGGGUGAUACCACUCCUCUUGGAUCUCUUGGAGAUGACAUCAAUGUAAAUGUGUCCAUGAAGUGGGGAUGGAUUGUGACUGUUCCAGGGGCCUGGCACUGCCUCUUUCCUGCCCUUGGCUCCAGGCAGGCGAGCAGGCCCUGAUGAGCAGAGGGGAUUCCUGAUGCAAAGAGCGUCAGCCACUGGUACAUCAUGUCUUCUGGUACCUCGUUGUAGGUCUGAAACUUUUGCUCUAUUGAAGAGGAAACAAAGCUCUCCCCUCCCAAAACUCCAUCCUGAAACACUUGGCAAGUCAGACAGGGGAUGUGAGUAGUGAAAGUAGUGAAAGUGUAUCCAUGUAGGGAAGGGCCAGGUGCAGAGACUGCACUGCUGCUGCAGGACCCCUUUCUUAUGUACCCCUCAAACACGGCCUGCCGGGCUGGGAGGGGGGAAGGAGUGACCUGUGCCACCACCAUGGGAUCUCGUCUGACCCAGGAGCUGGGGCUGCCCACAACAAAACCAGUGCUCUGUACCUGCAAGUUCCUGCAAUGCCCUGAUGCCCAGGGCAGCUGGACACACCACACUGGAGGUGGGUGUUUGAGGGGGCUGGUGAUGCUGAUGGUGUACCCUGAGUGCUGAUGGUGCCCUUGGGGCUGCAACAACGAAAACUUCCCCAUGGUGACCCCAUUACAGUGUUCCUACUAACAGAGGUGCAACCACAGCAACCACCCAUCCACGUGCUAAACAAACUGACUUUCCUCGGGAGUUUGCUGCGCUCACAGCCUGGACUGACAUGGAUUUUGGGGUUUUUAUUGGAAAUGGCAGUGCCUGAUGCAGUCCUGCACGUCGUGGGUUCCAGAGCAGGGCCUGUGGGGUCAGUGGCAGGGCCUGAUCCUGUGGGAGCUGUGGGCUGGAAAACCUCACUUGUGGUGAUGGGAGCCUGCCAGGAAGAUGGACUUGCACUUUUGGGAUUGUACUUGGGAAGAGGCCCCCCAUAGAGGCCAUCCAGGGCCAGAAGUGCUUGUGGUUGGCUCUGGCCUGUCCGUGUGCCCCGUUUCCCUGUGUUUGGACCGUCUUAAAUUCCCCAACUUUGUGGCCUUGGGUGUUGCUUUCCUACAGGAGAUCAUCCUGUGAGUGAGGGGCCGUGCCCAGCUCCCACCCCACUUCCAGGGGGACCAAAGCAGAGCCAGUGGACACAGGACACUCCAUCAUCAGCACUUGGGGGCAAGAGCGACAGUUCUCUGUAAUUAAAGGUGCUCUUUGUGCUCCUGUGUUCAAAUACCCAAAUCCAGCAUUUCCCCACAUGUCUGGAAUUGUGUUUGCAGUUAUUUAAUUUGGAGUUCUUUUUAAAAGCAUGGAGUCUGGAAUGUUUGUUCUCCGCUUUUUUUCACAUCAUUACUCUGAUACUGCUUGAUUAGCUCCCUCCCCAGUCAUGAUUGGUAAUUAAAAUAGGCAUUAAAAUUAGUCACUUAGCAAUUUUGCUGUUCAAUUGGCAAUUAAAUUACUUAAUUGCAAUUAAAGUCCUAAUUUUAAUUGGCAAAAUGAUAGAUGUAGAUUUAAGAUAAUAUGUAUAAAUACUUUAAUAAGUGUCUAUAUAAGGAUUACUUAAUUACUCAACUUCAAGUUUAUGCUGUUAACUUUAGAACUUUUAAGUGAGUAAUGAAAUUUAUAUUACAUCUAUUCUAAGGAUAUGAUAAUUAGAUGUAUCACUUAGCCUUAUAAGGGCCUGGGCUGUAAGUUGCUUCUGUGGUGUUGAACUACAGCCUGGACAAGCUGUUGGGAUAGGAGUGACACUGAUGGUGAUGCCGCAGCCAAGGGGACACACGGGGAAGUUGGCUGAGCUCCUCCAGCACCCGCUGGGUGAAUCCCGUGGAGAAGAACCCAAGGCAGCACCUGGAGCUGUGGAAACACUGUUCUGAACAGCCCUCAGUGGCACCUCACAGCGCUGGACCGGUUCUGUGCUGGUCUUCACCACAUCAUCCCACUGGAUAAAUCCCGGGAGCAACUCUGUGGGAGCGGGAGAACAUCACCCGGCUGUGGAGAUGGUCUCUCAGGGUGGGGGCAGUUCGUCUCGGGUGUUGGAGUGUCUCCAGCGAGAGGAGCAGGUUGGGAAGGGAACGUUUGGGGUUUCACACAAACCAUCGGUAUUUCAGCGUUCCGGGGGGUUUCUGCAAGGUGCAGACUUCGGGGGGAACACGCUGGAUUUCAGGGUGAGGUUGUGCCGUGUUGGGCUUUAUUCCCGGUUGGAUGUUCGGUACCUUUCCACAGCCUUUAGGACAUGGGGUCUACUGCCCUCCUGAGGAAGGGCACCUGGAGCUGCCGGGCCCUUCCCAGGCUGUGAAGGCCCGUGGCCACCCCGUCUGUGUUGGGCAGGGACACCCACUCACGUGACUGUGUCCCUUUUUUCCAGGUUGGAGGCAGCAGAGGGUCCCAUGGGAAGGUCCAGGGUUGGUGUUGGAGCCACCUGCCAGACCCCACCAAGUGUCUCCCUCCAAAAGUUCUUUGUCCCUGUGCACCAUCACUGGAUGGACCCAGAAACUGAGAUUCCUGAUCGGUUUUUAGUAAAUAUUUUUAAAUAAAUGCAGCGCCUUUAAUUGUC